GUUUAAAUAGUUUAAAUAAAAUAUUGAUUUGUGGUGUCAAUGAUGAAAGAUUUUUUUCUUUAAACC
This 66-nucleotide transfer RNA is filed under the name Sarcophaga melanura. RNAcentral describes it as "tRNA-His". Lineage: Eukaryota; Metazoa; Arthropoda; Insecta; Diptera; Sarcophagidae. The record is from RNAcentral.